UUACGACCAUGCGACGUUGAAACAGCAGUUCCCCUACGAUCACUGAAGUUAAGCAACGUUGAUUCAGGUCAGUACGUAGUUAGGUGACCGCUUGGGAAUGCCAGGUUCUGUAA
Acanthosepion pharaonis is the source of this 113-nucleotide non-coding RNA. The record is from the annotation of a GenBank genome assembly. NCBI's taxonomy places the organism in Eukaryota, Metazoa, Mollusca, Cephalopoda, Sepiida, Sepiidae.